This 466-nucleotide ribosomal RNA is filed under the name uncultured bacterium. RNAcentral's name for it is "partial 16S ribosomal RNA". It matches the Rfam family "Bacterial small subunit ribosomal RNA", at positions 28 to 505 of the family's 1533-position model. The record is from RNAcentral.
GACGAACGCUGGCGGCGUGCUUAACACAUGCAAGUCGAACGGAAAGGCCCUGCUUUUGUGGGGUGCUCGAGUGGCGAACGGGUGAGUAACACGUGAGUAACCUGCCCUUGACUUUGGGAUAACUUCAGGAAACUGGGGCUAAUACCGGAUAGGAGCUCCUGCUGCAUGGUGGGGGUUGGAAAGUUUCGGCGGUUGGGGAUGGACUCGCGGCUUAUCAGCUUGUUGGUGGGGUAGUGGCUUACCAAGGCUUUGACGGGUAGCCGGCCUGAGAGGGUGACCGGCCACAUUGGGACUGAGAUACGGCGCAGACUCCUACGGGAGGCAGCAGUGGGGAAUAUUGCACAAUGGGCGGAAGCCUGAUGCAGCAACGCCGCGUGCGGGAUGACGGCCUUCGGGUUGUAAACCGCUUUCGCCUGUGACGAAGCGUGAGUGACGGUAAUGGGUAAAGAAGCACCGGCUAACUACG